GACGAACGCUGGCGGCGUGCUUAACACAUGCAAGUCGAACGGAAAGGCCCUGCUUUUGUGGGGUGCUCGAGUGGCGAACGGGUGAGUAACACGUGAGUAACCUGCCCUUUACUUUGGGAUAACUUCAGGAAACUGGGGCUAAUACCGGAUAGGAGCUCCUGCUCCAUGGUGGGGGUUGGAAAGUUUCGGCGGUUGGGGAUGGACUCGCGGCUUAUCAGCUUGUUGGUGGGGUAGUGGCUUACCAAGGUUUUGACGGGUAGCCGGCCUGAGAGGGUGACCGGCCACAUUGGGACUGAGAUACGGCCCAGACUCCUACGGGAGGCAGCAGUGGGGAAUAUUGCACAAUGGGCGGAAGCCUGAUGCAGCAACGCCGCGUGCGGGAUGACGGCCUUCGGGUUGUAAACCGCUUUCGCCUGUGACGAAGCGUGAGUGACGGUAAUGGGUAAAGAAGCACCGGCUAACUACGUG
Molecule: ribosomal RNA, 468 nt
Filed under: uncultured bacterium
Lineage: Bacteria
Description: partial 16S ribosomal RNA
Rfam family: Bacterial small subunit ribosomal RNA
Source: RNAcentral